GGUGGCCUAACGGUUAGAGCGUCCGCUUCGUAUGCGGAAAGUACUGGGUUCGAACCAUACCAAAAACU
Potamilus streckersoni is the source of this 68-nucleotide non-coding RNA. NCBI's taxonomy places the organism in Eukaryota, Metazoa, Mollusca, Bivalvia, Unionida, Unionidae. The record is from the annotation of a GenBank genome assembly.